RNAcentral lists this ribosomal RNA (253 nucleotides) under uncultured bacterium. Its description in RNAcentral is "partial 16S ribosomal RNA". It matches the Rfam family "Bacterial small subunit ribosomal RNA", at positions 524 to 776 of the family's 1533-position model. The record is from RNAcentral.
UACAGAGGGUGCGAGCGUUAAUCGGAAUUACUGGGCGUGAAGCGCACGUAGGUGGCGACGUAAGUCGGGUGUGAAAGCCCCGGGCUCAACCUGGGAAUUGCAUUCGAGACUGCAUUGCUGGAGUACGGAAGAGGAAGGCGGAAUUCCCGGUGUAGCGGUGAAAUGCGUAGAUAUCGGGAGGAACAUCAGUGGCGAAGGCGGCCUUCUGGUCCAGUACUGACACUCAAGUGCGAAAGCGUGGGGAGCAAACAGG